This 280-nucleotide ribosomal RNA is filed under the name uncultured prokaryote. RNAcentral's name for it is "partial 16S ribosomal RNA". It matches the Rfam family "Bacterial small subunit ribosomal RNA", at positions 355 to 629 of the family's 1533-position model. The record is from RNAcentral.
UGGGGAAUCAUGGUCAAUGGGCGAAAGCCUGAACCUGCGACGCCGCGUGAGUGAUGAAGGUCGUAAGAUCGUAAAACUCUUUUCAGGGAUCUUAAAGCCUGUCUGUCAACAACAGGCAGAUCUGACUCUCCCUGGAAGAAGCCCCAGCCAACUACGUGCCAGCAGCUGCGGUAAUACGUAGGGGGCGAGCGUUAUUCGGAAUUACUGGGUGUACAGGGGAUGUAGGCGGCCCUUCAAGUCGCGUGUCAAAGUCCAGUGCGCAACGCUGGGUGUGCGCGCG